AGUGAACGCUGGCGGCAGGCCUAAUACAUGCAAGUCGAACGGCAGCACAGCAGAGCUUGCUCUGUGGGUGGCGAGUGGCGGACGGGUGAGUAAUACAUGGGAAUCUGCCCAGUCGUGGGGGAUAACGUAUGGAAACGUACGCUAAUACCGCAUGCGCCCUUUGGGGGAAAGCCGGGGACCUUCGGGCCUGGCGCGAUUGGAUGAGCCCAUGUUCGAUUAGCUAGUUGGCGGGGUAAAGGCCCACCAAGGCGACGAUCGAUAGCUGGUCUGAGAGGAUGAUCAGCCACACUGGGACUGAGACACGGCCCAGACUCCUACGGGAGGCAGCAGUAGGGAAUAUUGGACAAUGGGCGCAAGCCUGAUCCAGCCAUGCCGCGUGAGUGAAGAAGGCCCUCGGGUUGUAAAGCUCUUUUGUCCGGAAAGAAAAGCAUUCGGUUAAUACCCGGGUGUUCUGACGGUACCGGAAGAAUAAGCACCGGCUAACUUCGUG
RNAcentral lists this ribosomal RNA (490 nucleotides) under uncultured bacterium. RNAcentral's name for it is "partial 16S ribosomal RNA". It matches the Rfam family "Bacterial small subunit ribosomal RNA", at positions 29 to 507 of the family's 1533-position model. The record is from RNAcentral.